CUGGACGUCCACCCCGCCGCCCGGCUUCAACCCGGCGCUGGGGCGCGCCACUGCCGACAACCUCUAACCUGGAACAGCCAAACGGAAUCACACAAGCCGCCUGAAUCUGUCGUCUUCGAUCUGCCUCUGCGCGCCAGCCGGCUGCCAGUCGGCCGACGCCAGCGUCUGGAGCCGGUCUCGUUUCUGUGGCAGCGUGAAGUCAAAAUUCGUCCGGUGCAUUUAGGUUGGGGUCGGCCGUAUAUCUCUACGUUACUGUGCUAAUGUGGUGUCCGCCAGGAGAGAUCAUGCCGAAAUCUGUGAUGAUGCAACUCUGUUACGAGCCCCGCGGGGAAGCCGGUGCCGUCAUGCGAGAUAGAAACCAUGGAUAUAUGGCGCCAUCCCACUGGACGAUUGCGUUUAUGGCAUUUGUUGGAGCCGGGUGGAUUUGGUGCGCAAUGUGUUUGAAACGCCCCAGGCGCAGAGGUUAUUAUCGUUUGCUCACGUCGGGCCUUGGAAGCUGGAUCCCUCGGAUGCUCCGGCGUGUGGCGUGGCGCGCUCCGGGCCCCUUCCAGCGGCGGUGGCGGGUGGCACGGGUCGGGUCCGUUAGGCCCUGGCUCGUGCUUGCCACGUUGGCCUGGGUACGAUGCUUACGCCAAGCGGUCGGGCAGACCCGGCUGUACGCAUGGCACCGCUGGUCCACCGCCGGUCGGUAUGUGGGCCACGCGUCGGCGGGGUCUGCCGACCCACCGCGCGCUGGUCCGGGCCUCGCCGUGGCUGGUGCGGGUCCUGGCGAGGGUAGGAUAGAACGGGACGCUGGACCGGGCGGCCGGGGGCGGACACCAGCGGCGGCCGCAGGGGCCGACUGGCGGUGGAUGGGUGGUCACAGCGGGGCCGGAGGCCCGCCGAGCGGGUCCGGGGCCGCCGCUCAACCGGAGGGGUCUUUGAGUUGGGGCGAAGGCCGGCCGCCGCGGCGCCGGGGACGAACGGACAGAACCGUGAAGAGUAUAUGUGCGCGCGGCAGGAGGACAGCGGGCGGAGCGGGCGACGGAGCGAGCCAGAUAGGUACAUGUGCGCCGAGUCAGUUCAGGGAGGGACGGUGCCAGCGGCGGCGGCCGAGCCGGGUCGGAGGUGACCAUUGGGCACUCACCGUGUCACUGUGUGUUAUGUUGCCUUGACCCAUUCUCCGAUUGGUUUAACUUCAAUCCGAAAGUACUUGGCAAUCUUUCUGAAAUAAAGAAGCGACUCCUU
Long non-coding RNA from Pollicipes pollicipes, 1227 nucleotides. RefSeq lists it as uncharacterized. The transcript is spliced from 2 exons. NCBI's taxonomy places the organism in Eukaryota, Metazoa, Arthropoda, Thecostraca, Pollicipedomorpha, Pollicipedidae. The record is from RefSeq and is a predicted model, not a curated record.